GUUCUCGUAGCUCAAUCGGAUAGAGCGUUGGCCUCCGAAGCCAAAGGUUGGUGGUUCGAUUCCACUCGGGAACG
Molecule: transfer RNA, 74 nt
Filed under: Planctomycetaceae bacterium
Lineage: Bacteria; Pseudomonadati; Planctomycetota; Planctomycetia; Planctomycetales; Planctomycetaceae
Description: tRNA-Arg
Rfam family: tRNA
About the family: Transfer RNA (tRNA) molecules are approximately 80 nucleotides in length. Their secondary structure includes four short double-helical elements and three loops (D, anti-codon, and T loops). Further hydrogen bonds mediate the characteristic L-shaped molecular structure. tRNAs have two regions of fundamental functional importance: the anti-codon, which is responsible for specific mRNA codon recognition, and the 3' end, to which the tRNAs corresponding amino acid is attached (by aminoacyl-tRNA synthetases). tRNAs cope with the degeneracy of the genetic code in two manners: having more than one tRNA (with a specific anti-codon) for a particular amino acid; and 'wobble' base-pairing, i.e. permitting non-standard base-pairing at the 3rd anti-codon position.
Source: RNAcentral